Molecule: long non-coding RNA, 2423 nt
Organism: Mustela lutreola (European mink)
Lineage: Eukaryota; Metazoa; Chordata; Mammalia; Carnivora; Mustelidae
Exons: 3
Source: RefSeq, a predicted model, not a curated record
AGAUGAGUCGCCACUGUGUCCAGGCACUACUGUGCAGUGACAAGCUGGGUACACCAGUAGAGUGAAGCUGGCCAGUAGUGAAGCAUGGCUGCCCUCCAGCUCAUGGCCUGUGGACUGCGGCUGCACAUCUGCGCAGCAUUGUCCUGAGUGAGGCUGUGUCCAGGUGAUAAUGUCCCAGCCACCCACAUGCCCCUAAUGUCUGCUGAGUUAAGUGUGGGUCACACAUUAUCUCAGUGCUUGGAGGCCCAGCCUUGGGGCCAAGACCCUUAAGAAAAACAAAAAACAAAAACCCCAGAGCGGAAAAAACCGGCACCCUCCCCUGAGGCAGACCCUUCCGCAGGUUUAAGGCCAAAAGGGCCUCCGCCCCUCCUCCAGCCCGGACUGGGUCUCAGGCGCAAAGCCGUCUGCACUCCCCAGACCUGAUCCCCGGGAAUCCCCAGGCUCUUCGCGUCCGGAUAGCUACAUCCCAAGGCCGGAGCUCUAGCAGACGGCGUCUGAGGCUCCUUCUCCAUCCACGAGGACAUAGAAAGAACAAAAUGAAAAGAUGUUUUUGGAUCCCCAAACUUCUAUGGAUAGAAAGCAGGCUGAGAGAACCGCUGUGAACAGAGGCUAUUUCCUAUGGCAAAGGAAGGAUGACUCAGGACAGAACCCAAGCUGCAGGGAAUCAGUCCCAGGGAACAGGAUUGGACCCUAAUCAAGAAACGACAACAUGUGUUUAGCUGGAUGUUAGAAUCCUUACGGUCCUCUGGUCACUAUGGUCUUCAGAUCAAGAGAAAUCACAAAGUCAAACCAAGACCUGCACCUGAAGAACUUACUUGCCCCUGUACCUGAUUUGGAUACUGGAUUUAGAUUCUGGAUCUUGAACCUGAGCCCAGUGCCAUAAUAGGAUAAGACUUGAAGGGGGGGGGGGGAUUUGCAAGGCGCGGUGUGUAUUUUGCAUAUGGGUAGAAUGAGUGUAAAUACUUCGGUCUGAGAGUAAACUGUGGUGGUUUUUGCAAAAGGCUAUAGGCUUUCUGACAAACCUCACACUGAGAGGUGGAUUCCAUCAUUCCCUUUGAAUCUAGAAUGGUUCAUGACUGCUUUGACCAACAGAAUAUGGUGGGAGUGAUGCUGGGUGGCUCCCAAGAUUGAGUCAUGAGUCUGUGUGGCUUCUUGGGACACUUGCUCUCUUGCAGGACACUCUCCAGAACCUGGACACCAUCCUGGGAGGAGCCCACACCACAUGAAGAGACCAUGAUUAGAUUCUCAGGUUGAGAACCCAGACUGAGCCCCAACUUUGAGUCUUCCCACCAAGGUGCCAAUCAUGCCAGUGAUAAAGCCUCCAGAUAAUUCCAACCCUCAACCAUGAAGUCACCUCGAACUAUGACCGUCUACCUGGCUGAGACCUCAGUCUGCUCACAGUGGAGCAGAGAUGAGCCGCCAGGCGCCAGCUUAAUUCCUGGCUCACAGAAUCCAUGAACACAAGAAAAUGGUAGUUGUUUUACAUCACUGAAUUUGGGGUGGUUUUCUUAUAGCAACAGAACACACUCCUGCAGGGGGGUAUAGCCUCUACAUAAGGAGAUAGGAGGAAUUGUUGGGAGCCAUCUUACUGAUAAUCACCCACAGAGCUCUUUGGGGCUCAGGCUAGUUUAAGACAGACACAGUUUACUGUGGGGGUUCAAGAGAGACUUGCAGAAUUCAGAGGCAGGAAGUAGAGUCAAGGUGCUUGAGGGCUAGAGCUGAAAAUGGGGGCCUGCAGGAAUUCAGGCUGUGCUGACCUGCUCUCUCUGGCACUGUACAGGUCCUCCUUCUCCAAGUGCCCUCCUUGUGGGAGCCUCUAAUAGGUCCUGGCCCCACAGUCCUCUAGGACCCUCAGUCCAGCUGGGCACACUGGCCGCUCCCAUCAGAAUUCCCAGCCCAUGGAGGAUUAGCUUGGGAACCAGGCCUGGCUGCCUUUGGCUCCCAAAGACAAGGCCAGGUAAGAGGGGGGUCCUCUGGCGGGGCAGGCAUUCUAUAGAAGCGCUCUCUAUAUCGGUCAUCUGGAUGGGUGGGGAUAUUUUUGAUCAGGAAGAAAUAAAAAUAGGCAUUGUUGGCUGGUAAUUACUUUUUUGGGCCUUUCCUGCAUGUCUUAGAUAAUUAACCCUUUGUCCAGUCUUUAUUCCUCCUCCCUUCCUUCCUUCCUUUCUUCCUUUCUUCUCCCCUCUCUCUCUUUCUUUGUUCUCAAGUUGCUCCCAGGGAGAAGGGGAGUAGAGGAUGAGUUUCUGACACUUUCACUGGACCUCAAUGGUCCUUGGUCAGCAAAGCACUGGUCACCAUACUGGGAGGAGCCCACACCCAGCAUCUGGAAGCACACAGCACCACUGGGAGACCCACAGUCAGUCACACAGGCACACAUGAACGCACACAUUCACAGGUGCACACAGAUGGUCACACACAGAGGCACA